This 301-nucleotide ribosomal RNA is filed under the name uncultured bacterium. RNAcentral describes it as "bacterial SSU rRNA". It matches the Rfam family "Bacterial small subunit ribosomal RNA", at positions 506 to 802 of the family's 1533-position model. The record is from RNAcentral.
UGCCAGCAGCCCGCGGUAAUACCGAAGGGUGCAAGCGUUACUCGGAAUUACUGGGCCGUAAAGCGUGCCGUAGGUGGUUUGUUAAGUCUGAUGUGAAAGCCCUGGGCUCAACCUGGGAAUGGCAUUGGAAACUGGCUUACUAGAGUGCGGUAGAGGGUAGCGGAAUUCCCGGUGUAGCAGUGAAAUGCGUAGAUAUCGGGAGGAACAUCCGUGGCGAAGGCGGCUACCUGGACCAGCACUGACACUGAGGCACGAAAGCGUGGGGAGCAAGCAGGAUUAGAUACCCUGGUAGUCCAAGGGC